GACGAACCGUCCAAACGUUAUUCGGAAUCACUGGGCUUAAAGGGUGCGUAGGCGGAGAGGCAAGUCAGAGGUGAAAGCCCACGGCUCAACCGUGGAAGUGCCCCUGAAACGGCCUCUCUCGAGGGAGAUAGGGGCGUGCGGAACUCAGAGUGGAGCGGUGAAAUGCGUAGAUAUUCUGAGGAACACCGGUGGCGAAAGCUGCACGCUGGGUCUUUUCUGACGCUGAGGCACGACAGCUAGGGGAGUAAACGGG
This 253-nucleotide ribosomal RNA is filed under the name uncultured bacterium. RNAcentral's name for it is "partial 16S ribosomal RNA". It matches the Rfam family "Bacterial small subunit ribosomal RNA", at positions 524 to 776 of the family's 1533-position model. The record is from RNAcentral.